AUACCGGAGCGGGGCUGCCUAGCUUGGUAACUAAUUUACUCUAACCUAAUAUACUAACAAUUAUAAUGCUCAAUAUCUCACAUUAAAAAGGUGUUCAGUUGUGUAAAAACAACUGUUCAGAUUUGCAUAAAAGGUAUAGAAAAAAAAGAUCAAACAGGAGCUUAGAACCAGGUUAUUUAGGCUGUCAGACUUAGGAUUAUAGUAUUAUAUAUCACCCUCGUCAGAAUUUGCAUACAACACUUUUUUUCAACCUGGAAAUUGCACGAGAAAACACGGUUACAAAUUGCUUUAGAUGAGAAGCACAAAAAACAUUAUUAUCAAUUUGAAGAAGAAACUUCAAACAACGGUUAAGAUACACAGUUUUACCAGUUUUUAAGUUGUGAUGUUGUGAUCUCUGGGCCCUACAAAGCACGGCCAUAUUUUCCAUAAAUGAGAAUGCAUUCAACAAUUAAGACCUAAGAAUUGAAUGCCCCAAAGUGAAAAAAAAUUACCUGCAGACUUAACUUCUCUGACCAACUCUGCAAUAGAACAGGGUUUUUGUGCAUCUCAGGCUCAUCUACUAGAGCCUUCUCUAAUUCAUCUAUUUGCUCAUUAUUCAUAAGGGUACGCUUCCUUCUCUUAGGUUGCCUCUCAUCAUACAUACUACUCUCUCCUUUCCCAUCCUCCUCGAGACCGUUUUCUUUUGUAAGUUCUGGUGUUUUGAAAUUAUCCACGCUGCUGGAUGCUGGAUCAAGAUCCAUUCUGUUGUGCUGGUGUCUGGUGCUAACACCGGAAGCGACAUCCGAAGGGCAACCACUUGCUGUUCUUGCAACGCCAAGAUGGACUAGGUCUUGCCCAACUGCAUUCUGCAGGAAACCACCAUUUCUAGAGACAGUGUUCUUUGGAGUCUCGUCCUCAUCAUUUCCUUCCGGAUUUAUUGGGGGUACUGGUGUAGACACUUCCAUGUUCUGUGCAUCCUGUUGCAUCAGCUUCCGAUUAGAAUCCAAUUCACCGUGGACCCAAACCCAAUCACCAGUCAAGUUUCAUUGACCCACUCAUCUAAGUAUUUACCUUUGGAAGGUUAUUCAUUUUGGAGGCUGGAGUGCUUGUCCGUGUUGGCAAGUGCUGCUGCACCGGGCGCAUGGCAUCCAUGCUUUCUGGUGGAAUAUCAUUUUGUACAACCUUAAACAUUUCAUAAUGAGGUCAUACUACAAUUGAAAAAAUAAGAGAAAGUUUGAAAGAAAACAUGAAAAUUCUGCCAUAGAAUGGAUAGUAAAUUGACCUUUGAAGUUCACUGACAAGGGAGCCAAGGCCAGGAAAGGAUGAUGGGAUAGUGUUGAGCUCAAUUUGAAGUAGUGAAUUGGUUUCGGAAUCCAGCAUAUAGUCAGACCGGUGCAAUCCUAAGUGUAUAUCCUAAAAGUGUAUCAAGCACAUAUCAGUGGCUGGCUAAAAAACAAGAGAAAGUUUGAAAGAAGCAUUUCCUAAAGGUCAAAACUGAGACAUAGAGGCCGAUAAAAACAGUUUACUCACCUCUUUCUUAUUUAUAGACAUCAUCUUAUCAUGAAUUUCUAGCAGCCUUGAAGUAAAUUCAUCAACCUGCUUUGUUCUGAAAUUAGAAAAUGAUAAUCCGCUGUUAACCUGAAACCAUUAUAUAGCUAAAAAUGUGAAAAAUAGCUCUGCCUUCUAUGACCUGACUAACAGAGAGUUAUAUUCUCCUCAAAAUUCAAGGCGACAAUCUUGUGAUGAAAAAAAUCAGCUAACAAUCUCGUCUACUCACUGUAUGCUCCGAACAAAGAUAUAUACCACAUUGGUACCAAAAGAAUCCAGUGGAUAGAAUUCAGAACUUGCCUAGACAAAGCAGCUUGGAAGAACUCCCCAUCCAAGCUGACACGAUCCACGAGCUCAUUGAAGAUAGGAGCCAGCUCGCAUGCUUGAUUGAAGAACGAUGCCGGAAAACGCGCUGGAAGCAGCGAGAAUGGAGCGUGAACCAGGCCAACCGCAGGGACCGUUCCGAUCUCUGCAAGUGACAAUAUAAAUGCAGAUCAGAUAAUUCAGGGUAAUUAUAGCUUACAGUUACAGGAAAUUGGGGCAUGCUGUUUGCUUCUUCUUCUUCUUUUCUGGUUAUAUCAAAACCCGCCAGAGUGCAGAGUGGCAACAGUCAAGACAUGUUGAAAAUUGUUCCUUUUUUAACAGUGAACUACAUUACUGCAACUGUUAAGACAAGUUGAACNNNNNNNNNNNNNNNNNNNNNNNNNNNNNNNNNNNNNNNNNNNNNNNNNNNNNNNNNNNNNNNNNNNNNNNNNNNNNNNNNNNNNNNNNNNNNNNNNNNNGGCUGCGUCAGCCAGCCCGGGCCCGGCACGACACUAAACCAUGCCGGGCUUGGACUGACGCCCCUCGUGCCAGGCCCAGCCGUGCCGGGCCGGCCGUUGGACAUGUAUAGCUGUAGUACUUUGUUCUCUGGCUUAUUCUGCAGGUAUGGUGGUCUUGGAAGGCUCCCUUGUCUCUGAACCUUACUUCUACUGCUAUCCAGUAUCUCCUACAGUAGUUGAGCCAGCACAGUGGCUCUAUCCAUGGUACUGGGCAACUGAAGCUGAACCACAUUCUGAAUCUCCGAUUUCAUGCCAUAAAUGAACUUGGCGACAAAAAAACAUUUCGUCCAACUUUGGAUUAUGCACCUCGGCCACAUAACGAGCCUGUUCAAAUUCUGCUACGUACACUUCCAAAGUGUAUGACUAUAUUAACUUCAUAAUUGUUCUCAAAGCCUUUGGGUAAGAUUCAGUACCAAAUUUCGCUAGCACAGCAGCAGAAAACUCCUGACAGGAUCCCAACCCAUUUCGAAUCUUAUACGAUUGCCACCAUCUAGACGCAUUCGAAUCCAAGUGCAUGGUAGCAGCUGAGACCUAGAUCGCCUCGGGGACAUUGCAAAUGUUGAAAUAAUUCUUACAAUUAUCCAACCACACCACUGGAUCAUCGCCCCAAACUUUGGAAAAGACAUCUUAGGUAUUACCUGACGAACUAGUCCUCCUUGAUGAAAUCGAUUGAACUCCGGUCUCUCCUGCUAGUUAUCCUGGCGUUGUUGGCGAUCUAGCGUUGUUCCUGCUAUUUCUUUCAGUUCCUACGACUGAUACGAUAUAAAUAGAUUGAUUCACCAGAAUGAUAAAUUGUUUAUAUGCACAGUGAAAAUAAGUUACAUUACAUUUUUUUUGAAGCUAGGCACUGUGACGCCCUAAGCCGGAGGCGCGAUGCUACCUCGAUGUGGGCUAUCGGUGAGAGUCGAGACGUGGACGACACGAAGGUGGAGUUCUUUUUUUUUGCAUAUUAUGUCCGCUACAGCACAGCAAAAUAUAAGCCCAUAGUCAACACAUGGCCUAUCAACAAUUACGAACAAACGCGUACUUCAAACAUAAUUUCUCUUCCCGCCAACAAUUACAAACCACUCUGUCACGCCUCACCUGGAGCUACUGCAGGUGCUUCAGUACACAUGUAGACUAAAAGAAAAAUAGUUCUGAAACGCCAAUCCUCUUUACAUCAGCCUUGGACAAACUGGAUGCAGAUUUCUUUAUUGUGUCAAGUGCCUGGACAAACAUGGCAAAGUUUAUUAUGCCAAUAACAGUCUAGAGCAUUGGAGUAGUUAGAAACAUAAAUCACGCAGUACUCAAAAGUCCCAGUUUAGUGGAAGAUUUUGAACAUAAUAAGUUUAGCUUUCAGUCCUUAAUACUAGGCUGAGUGAGAUGGUAAAAUACAUAAGCGCACCAGUGAACAGAGAAUAACUUGUAAAAUUUGCUGCAAGUGCACCCUGCCCCCACAUUCAUAAAUUCUAGAAAAAAACAGAGAAAUCUUAAGUACUCCCUCCGUUUCUUUUUAGUUGUCGCUGAAUAGUUCAAUUUUGCACUAUCCAGCGACAACUAAAACGAAACGAGGGAGUAACAACAAGUUGGUAUGCCAUUGAAACAGCCACAGGAAUUUACCACCACCAAGCAACAUACGCAUGUAAAAUCCCAAAUCAUAGGAGUAAGAAUACUGAAGGCUCUUCUCGGAGUAAAUAAACUAGAAGAUAAAUCAAAUUAAAUUAAAUCAACCACAAGAUAAAAUCCAAAUACUAAACAGGCUGGGCUCAGUUGGACAAAGUCUACCAGUCUAAUGACAACAAAGUCUACCAGUUUGAAUUUGAAAUGUGAUUGGGAUUUGAAACCUAAAACUGAAAAAUGGAAAAGAAGAAAGGGCCGUUUCCCUUGAGUCCGCCAUGGACUUCCUGUCCAAAGUCCGAAGAACUCGAUCGACAGACUAUAUAUGCGGGCCGAGGCACAGCCCCCUCGUCCAUCAAAUCUAGAAGUAACCCGCCAAGAACCGAGCGCCGUCGCGUGUAUCUCAGCCGUCUGCGCCGCCUGUUUCUCAGCCGUUCGCCACAAAAUGCUGGGUCUCCAAAUCAGGACCGUCAUGGCGGAGAACAUGAACUCGGAGCUAAACAUGAUAGGCUCCUUGCUCCCGUUGUUCCCCUGCAUCACCUUCGACGUCGAGUACGCGGGCACACUGCACCGCUCGUCCGCUGCGACGCGAAUCGCCCCGAGCAAGCAGUACGCCCUCGUGAAGAAAAACGUUGAUGCGGUGCCCAUCGUGAUGCUCGGCAUCACGCUCUCCAACGAGUACGGGAACCUCCCGCUCACAGCGGACGGAGAAGGACGUCUGUUCCAGCUCGCGUGGGAGGUGACGUUCUCGGACUUCGACCCCCGGCGCGACCGCCACGCCCCGGAGUCCGUCACGUUCCUGCGCUCACAGGGCGUCUGCUUGGACAAGGCCCGAGCGCGCGGCGUGAGCUCCGCGGCGUUCGCGGCCAAGCUGGCCGCCAUACUGUCGGCGACGCCGCGGCCCAACGAGCUCACCUGGGCGGCGUUUGGUGGAGCAUACGACUUCGCAUAUAUGCUGAAGAUUCUCACGGGCGGCCAGCCGCUGCCGGAGACAUGGCACGAGUUCAUGGCCCAGACCCAUGCUCUUCUCGGCGGCGGCCGGGUGUUCGACGCCAAAUACAUGGCGGAGCACUGCGAGCGAACGGACUUAGGUGGUCUAGGUCUGAGGCGCAUGGCCGCCACCUUGGCAUGCGGUGGGACUUCCCGGAGUUGCCCUUCCUUGCCGGGCGGAAGAGCCACAUCGCUUGCUUCAUCUGCACCAUUAUGAGGAGACGCAUCCUGUAUCGCGACGGUGGUGAUAUACUUGUAGGUCUACUCGAUGGUAUACACUGGUAGCAUCUUUGAACGGUGAUUACAGCAUAGUCAACUCUAGAUUAUAAUAAACUCUUUUAGCUAUCCAAAUGGGUUAGAUAGGUGUUAGUAUAGGGUAUAUUUUAUAGAUUAAAAUGAUUGUUGGGCUGCGCCCCAAACAAUCAUAGUUAGUAGAUAGGUUUAAUUUGCUUCUAUAAUCAUGGUUGAUUUAUUCAUUACGCUUGUAACCGUCUAUGUAUAUCUAUCCAUCUAUUUACAUAUUUAGUAAAAAAAGUUAAGCGAAUUAAAAAUUAGGACGGAACUGUGCUCUCCCAAAAAAAUUCAAUCAUGAAAAUAAAUGCUUCAGCAUCUAUAGAAUGUAAUGACAUAGCUGCGUCCCCUUUUCAUCCGUGGAGAUAAAUACCGGAGCGGGGCUGCCUAGCUUGGUAACUAAUUUACUCUAACCUAAUAUACUAACAAUUAUAAUGCUCAAUAUCUCACAUUAAAAAGGUGUUCAGUUGUGUAAAAACAACUGUUCAGAUUUGCAUAAAAGGUAUAGAAAAAAAAAGAUCAAACAGGAGCUUAGAACCAGGUUAUUUAGGCUGUCAGACUUAGGAUUAUAGUAUUAUAUAUCACCCUCGUCAGAAUUUG
This 5825-nucleotide long non-coding RNA is filed under the name Zea mays. Its description in RNAcentral is "long non-coding RNA (ZMAY_LNC001359)". The record is from RNAcentral. Lineage: Eukaryota; Viridiplantae; Streptophyta; Magnoliopsida; Poales; Poaceae.